RNAcentral lists this ribosomal RNA (495 nucleotides) under uncultured bacterium. RNAcentral describes it as "partial 16S ribosomal RNA". It matches the Rfam family "Bacterial small subunit ribosomal RNA", at positions 28 to 507 of the family's 1533-position model. The record is from RNAcentral.
GACGAACGCUGGCGGCGUGCCUAAUACAUGCAAGUCGAACGCUGAAGGAGGAGCUUGCUUCUCUGGAUGAGUUGCGAACGGGUGAGUAACGCGUAGGUAACCUGCCUGGUAGCGGGGGAUAACUAUUGGAAACGAUAGCUAAUACCGCAUAAGAGUAGAUGUUGCAUGACAUUUGCUUAAAAGGUGCAAUUGCAUCACUACCAGAUGGACCUGCGUUGUAUUAGCUAGUUGGUGGGGUAACGGCUCACCAAGGCGACGAUACAUAGCCGACCUGAGAGGGUGAUCGGCACCACUGGGACUGAGACACGGCCCAGAAUCCUACGGGAGGCAGCAGUAGGGAAUCUUCGGCAAUGGACGGAAGUCUGACUGAGCAACGCCGCGUGAGUGAAGAAGGGUUUCGGAUCGUAAAGCUCUGUUGUAAGAGAAGAACGAGUGUGAGAGUGGAAAGUUCACACUGUGACGGUAUCUUACCAGAAAGGGACGGCUAACUCCGUG